This is a long non-coding RNA of Zingiber officinale, 821 nucleotides long. RefSeq lists it as uncharacterized. Lineage: Eukaryota; Viridiplantae; Streptophyta; Magnoliopsida; Zingiberales; Zingiberaceae. The record is from RefSeq and is a predicted model, not a curated record. The transcript has 2 exons.
UCCACGCUACAUACAUGAUACGUCUUACGCGGGUAUCCAACCUCACCUCAUGUUGCCCUAAUUUAGCCGUCAUCUCGUUCCUCGUCUUCGCUAUAAAUGCCCGUCCAGCACUCAAAGAGAAGAAACCACACCAUUGUUUCGGCGGCGGGGCAGAAAGCUUCGACUGGAGAUCGUCUCGGCGGACUUCCUCCUAUUCGAGCUAUUUGGUGAUUUUGUACAGUUUGGGCUUGGUAUAAAUCUAGUUGGGGGAUUAAUAUCACUUCUUUGAUGAUUUUUUUGGGGGCAAAUGUGGGUUUAGAGUAAUUGCCUAUGGACGAUCAAGUGCUUGAUACGAAGCAGGUACAUCAGCACAAAACAAUGUCAUAAGCUAAAGAGACCACAAUCCCUCUUGAAAGCAAUCAAUUUAGAGGAGAAUACACUUGGUAGCAUACAUUUUGACAAGCUGCUUGCUGCCCGUUGUUUUAUUAUUAUUUGCAGAGAAAAUUGCCUUUCCAAUGUACAUCAGCACAAAACAAUGUCAUAAGCUAAAGAGAUACCACAAUCCCUCCUUGCAAGCAAUCAAUUUAGAGGAGAAUACACUUGGUAGCAUACAUUUUGACAAGCUGCUUGCUGCCCUUUGUUUUUUUAUUAUUUGCAGAGAGUAUCACUAGUUGAGGAGGGUACACUAGUUGGCAUUCACUUUAAAGUUGCUGCUGCCUCUUUAUCUCUCAGCAACACGUGAAUGAUUGUACUGACUUUCGUUACUCUUUUAUAUAUAAAUUUCAUCUAUGUACUAGACUUGUGGUAUGAAUUUCUGACUGCAAAUUUUGAUCAGAACUUCA